Molecule: ribosomal RNA, 383 nt
Filed under: Stevenia deceptoria
Lineage: Eukaryota; Metazoa; Arthropoda; Insecta; Diptera; Rhinophoridae
Description: partial 16S ribosomal RNA
Source: RNAcentral
UCGAAGGUAGCAUAAUCAGUAGUCUUUUAAUUGAAGGCUGGUAUGAAUGGUUGGACGAGAAAUUAACUGUUUCAUAAAAAUUUAUAGUAGAAUUUUAUUUUUUAGUCAAAAAGCUAAAAUUUAUUUAAAAGACGAGAAGACCCUAUAAAUCUUUAUAUAAGUUUUAUUGUAAUUUUUUAGAUUCAUUUUGUUAUAAUAAAUUAUUAUAUUUUAUUGGGGUGAUAUUAAAAUUUAAUAAACUUUUAAUUUUUAUAAUCAUUAAUAUAUGAAUAAAUGAUCCGUUAAUAACGAUUAAAAAAUUAAGUUACUUUAGGGAUAACAGCGUAAUUUUUUUGGAGAGUUCAUAUCGAUAAAAAAGAUUGCGACCUCGAUGUUGGAUUAAA